This 415-nucleotide ribosomal RNA is filed under the name uncultured bacterium. RNAcentral describes it as "SSU rRNA". It matches the Rfam family "Bacterial small subunit ribosomal RNA", at positions 8 to 422 of the family's 1533-position model. The record is from RNAcentral.
AGAGUUUGAUCCUGGCUCAGGACGAACGCUGGCGGCGUGCCUAACACAUGCAAGUCGAGCGAGGGGAGUUCUUCGGAACAAACCUAGCGGCGGACGGGUGAGUAACACGUGGGUAACCUGCCUCAGUGAGGGGGAUAGCCUUCCGAAAGGAAGAUUAAUACCGCAUAAUAUCUGAUGAUCGCAUGAUCAUUUGAUUAAAGGAGUAAUCCGCACUGAGAUGGACCCGCGGCGCAUUAGCUAGUUGGUGAGGUAACGGCUCACCAAGGCCACGAUGCGUAGCCGACCUGAGAGGGUGAUCGGCCACAUUGGAACUGAGAUACGGUCCAGACUCCUACGGGAGGCAGCAGUGGGGAAUAUUGCACAAUGGGCGAAAGCCUGAUGCAGCAACGCCGCGUGAGUGAUGAAGGCCUUCGGG